GAUGAACGCUGGCGGCGUGCCUAACACAUGCAAGUCGUACGAGCUCGAUCUUCGGAACGGGUUAGUGGCGCACGGGUGAGUAACACGUAGGUGACCUACCCCAGAGUGGGGGAGUAACUUCUCGAAAGAGAGGCUAAUACCGCAUACACUCGGUCAUUCAUUUGGCCGAGCAAAGCUCUGGCGCUUUGGGACGGGCCUGCGUCCGAUUAGCUAGUUGGUAGGGUAAUGGCUUACCAAGGCUUUGAUCGGUAGCUGGUCUGAGGGGACGAUCAGCCACACUGGCACUGACACACGGGCCAGACUCCUACGGGAGGCAGCAGUGAGGAAUAUUGGGCAAUGGGCGAAAGCCUGACCCAGCAACGCCGCGUGAGGGAUGAAGGCCUUCGGUUGUAAACCUCUUUCUGGGAGAAGAGACAAGGACGGUAUCUCAGGAAUAAGUCUCGGCUAACUACGUGCCAGCAGCCGCGGUAAU
This 472-nucleotide ribosomal RNA is filed under the name uncultured bacterium. RNAcentral's name for it is "bacterial SSU rRNA". It matches the Rfam family "Bacterial small subunit ribosomal RNA", at positions 28 to 524 of the family's 1533-position model. The record is from RNAcentral.